This is an RNA transcript of Triticum aestivum (bread wheat), 1115 nucleotides long. RefSeq lists it as uncharacterized. Lineage: Eukaryota; Viridiplantae; Streptophyta; Magnoliopsida; Poales; Poaceae. The transcript has 4 exons. The record is from RefSeq and is a predicted model, not a curated record.
AAGGUGAUAUGCUGAAGAUUUGUGAUUAUCACAGUAUGGCCUUUACAUUGCUUCUGUAUGAUCUGAACCUGUUGAGCUCAUCACAAAGACCAUACAAAUUGGCUCUAUCCCUGAUGUCCAAUAAAAAAGGGGAACUAUGGCCUCAGAUCGAAAAAGUUUCUUUUCCUUUGUGAUUUUGCAGCGGGACUUGCUUAUGGAGACGUUCGCUCUGGGUCAAAGCUUAAGAGUACUGAUGCUUUUGACCAUUUAAUUAGUGUUUAGGGGGAGGAUUUCCACAGUAACCCUGGGCUGGUUAACCUAUUUGGAAUAGAAUUCCCUGAUUUGAAUAUCAAGCAUUCACAACUUCAGAAUACAUUGUCUCGAGCCACCGCCGUCGGGCUCCGCGUCCACGCGCCCCUUCAAACCUACUGGAUGCAAUCUCGCAUUGCGCUGUCGUCCGCACUGUCUGGCACCACCUAUGGACACAGAACGACGGAUCAAGGUUUAAUGACUUUGAUCAGGCAAGAUACAUUCUGCCCCGCUCAUCUCCCCGUGUUGCUGUUGGGCAGCAUCGACACCGGCCUCGAUCAGUGUCGGGGCAAUGGUGAACCAAUGAAGAAGCUUAAGGCGGCUCAGGUGGGGUGGCACACGAUAUUGACAUCAGCCACGACCAGCGUCGGAGGAUGGGUCAUUGGGACGGAAGGAGGAAGACAAAGAGGAGGAAGAAGACGAUGAUCACCAAAUUUUACCACCGAUAAAAAACACGCGACCGAUGCAUAGUUGCUCUUAUAGUAUCUGCUAAAGAAAUUGAUAAAAGAUGAUAUAUAUUCGUAGGACUUCACUCAUGUCACUUAGUCACCAGUUUGAUUUAUUUUCCUGUAUUUUGCCCAGGCAACGCACGGGCAUUGUACUAGCAACCGGCUCCGGGCCCAGCCUACAUUAGGGGGUGUGUUAUGUAUUCGCAAGGUUGUGUCCAGUAUAAGACUUAAUUCCUUGUAACCAUAAAUGUGAGCUAGGAAGAAUAAAAUUUGUGCUCUAUUGAACUUACUGUAGAGCGGAGCAAGACGAUCGAAGAGAGGGAGGGAUUACAAAUAUUUCAAUCAUGGCAGAGUUAGAAGUAGAACAAGCAAUGUAGA